RNAcentral lists this ribosomal RNA (259 nucleotides) under uncultured bacterium. RNAcentral's name for it is "partial 16S ribosomal RNA". It matches the Rfam family "Bacterial small subunit ribosomal RNA", at positions 96 to 353 of the family's 1533-position model. The record is from RNAcentral.
UGGCGGACGGGUGAGUAACGCGUGGGUAACCUGCCUUAUACAGGGGGAUAACAGUCAGAAAUGGCUGCUAAUACCGCAUAAGCGCACAGAGCUGCAUGGCUCAGUGUGAAAAACUCCGGUGGUAUAAGAUGGACCCGCGUUGGAUUAGCUUGUUGGUGGGGUAACGGCCCACCAAGGCGACGAUCCAUAGCCGGCCUGAGAGGGUGAACGGCCACAUUGGGACUGAGACACGGCCCAAACUCCUACGGGAGGCAGCAUG